RNAcentral lists this ribosomal RNA (524 nucleotides) under Chaetothyriales sp. RNAcentral describes it as "SSU rRNA". It matches the Rfam family "Eukaryotic small subunit ribosomal RNA", at positions 123 to 653 of the family's 1831-position model. Lineage: Eukaryota; Fungi; Ascomycota; Eurotiomycetes; Chaetothyriales. The record is from RNAcentral.
GAUAGUACCUUUACCUGGAUAACCGUGGUAAUUCUAGAGCUAAUACAUGCUAAAAACCUCGACUUCGGAAGGGGUGUAUUUAUUAGAUAAAAAACCAAUGCCCUUCGGGGCUCCUUGGUGAAUCAUAAUAACUUAACGAAUCGCAUGGCCUUGCGCCGGCGAUGGUUCAUUCAAAUUUCUGCCCUAUCAACUUUCGAUGGUAAGAUAGAGGCUUACCAUGGUCUUAACGGGUAAGGGGAAUUAGGGUUCUAUUCCGGAGAGGGAGCCUGAGAAACGGCUACCACAUCCAAGGAAGGCAGCAGGCGCGCAAAUUACCCAAUCCCGACACGGGGAGGUAGUGACAAUAAAUACUGAUACGGGGCUCUUUUGGGUCUCGUAAUUGGAAUGAGUACAAUCUAAAUCCCUUAACGAGGAACAAUUGGAGGGCAAGUCUGGCGCCAGCAGCCGCGGUAAUUCCAGCUCCAAUAGCGUAUAUUAAAGUUGUUGCCGUUAAAAAGCUCGUAGUUGAACCUUGGGCCUGGCUG